UUGGUAUGUUUCGUUUACAAAGAAAGCUUCCGCCUUAAUGAAAAGGCUUUCACUUUCUCUUUAGUUGUAAGUUCACAAUCAAUUUUAGGGUUAUUAUUCCGCAUUGCUUUGUUUUGAAGAAAGCUCUGUGGGAUAAGAAUUAAAAAAAAGUUGUUCUUCCCUUGUGGGGAAAUAUGCCUUUGAAAAGACACAUAAAGCCACAAAAGAAGAAAAAAGAUUUCGGUUCGCGGGACACAAAGUGCUUCUAUUCUCUGGGUGUUGCCACACAGAAAACAGUCACAGCUUGUUUUUUUGUUUUUGAGGGUGUGGUAAUGAUCCUUCCGCAGGUUCACCUACGGAAA
This 341-nucleotide unclassified non-coding RNA is filed under the name uncultured fungus. Its description in RNAcentral is "sequence contains ITS1". Lineage: Eukaryota; Fungi. The record is from RNAcentral.